CCAUUGAAUUCAUUUCACUACAGCAAUAUAGCUUGCUUAUAUUCAAAUAGAUAUAAUUUUUACCCUUAGUAAAUUAACUACACCCACACAAAUAACAAAUUCCUUGAUAUGCACUUUAUCCCCAUCCCUAUAAAUGUUGGUGCAUACCUUAUAAACUAGCAGUUCAGCAACCCAUGGAAUAACUGAAGGCAUUUGUUGGCUAAUCAGGCUCAAAAUAUUUUUCAUUUGCUCUAAAUAUUCCAUUUAACCUGGGUGUUCAGAGAUGUAUUCUCUUGUUAACUACAUAAUUCUUCCUUUGUUAACGACAUGUUUUUGAUAUUACAUAUUCUUAAACCAUUUGAAGAGUCCAUUGUGUAAAAAUUUUGAUGUACAAAUUGUAUAGAUUGGUGGUUGUAUGUCUUAAAACUUGCUUUUCAGUGUGUUGAUACAUUCCCAAGUUUACCUAAUUCAACUUAAGAUUUUAUUCAACACCAAGUCAUAUCCCAGGCACUGCACUAAAUUAUAGACACUAAGGGGAUGAAAAGAGACUUGUUUCUGAUCCAAUAUCUCAGAGAAGGUAGCUUACUGUUUCUGUUAAGAGUUCUACAUGUCUGAGUUGUUUUUCCUCCUUUUUUCCCUUUGUUCUUAUAUUUCAUCAGAAUAAUUCAGCAGGCCUCAAUAAAGGCUCAAAAAUAAUAUUUACGCCCAGGGAAAGCCCAGGACAUCUAGCUUCUCCUAGGCAUUACAGAAGUCAAGGUGUGAAAAUGUUAAGAAAAUGAAAAUCUACAAAACCUUAAAGACCAUUUAUACUUGAUAGUAGCACUAUUUGAUUAAUCUCAGAGGCCAGAUGUUCAGAGAUAAAGCUCUGCAGAUGCUUCUUAAUCCACCAAGGUGGAGUUGGUGGUGCUGAUAUUUAAAUUCAGGUUAUUGCUUCGACCUCAGUUGCUUUGUAAAUGAAGGUGUGACCCCAGAGGAAAGCACACAGUGUGACCUUGGUUGGCAUCCCUCACUGCUCAUGUGACUGCUGUCAAAUGAUUUUUACAUUUAAGCUG
RNAcentral lists this long non-coding RNA (1031 nucleotides) under Bos taurus (domestic cattle). RNAcentral's name for it is "long non-coding RNA NONBTAT011756". Lineage: Eukaryota; Metazoa; Chordata; Mammalia; Artiodactyla; Bovidae. The record is from RNAcentral.